This is a long non-coding RNA of Gopherus evgoodei (Goodes thornscrub tortoise), 93 nucleotides long. RefSeq lists it as uncharacterized. The transcript has 3 exons. The record is from RefSeq and is a predicted model, not a curated record. NCBI's taxonomy places the organism in Eukaryota, Metazoa, Chordata, Testudines, Testudinidae.
CCCCCUCCUGCCCUACAGGUAACAUGGGGCUGGGAGAGUGUGGUGGCCCCAGGGCUAGGUGUGGAGGACACACAUGUGACCUGCCCUUUUACU